AACAAACGCUGGCGGCGUGCCUAACACAUGCAAGUCGUACGAGAAAGUCGGCUUCGGCCGAUGAGUACAGUGGCGCACGGGUGAGUAGCGCGUGGGUAAUCUGCCCCCCGGUCAGGAAUAACCCGCCGAAAGGCGGGCUAAUACCCGAUAACACUGACGCUCCGCGGAGCGUCUUUCAAAGAAGGCCUCUGUUUACAAGCUUUCGCCGGAGGAUGAGCCCGCGUACCAUUAGCUAGUUGGCAGGGUAAUGGCCUACCAAGGCUACGAUGGUUAGCUGGUCUGAGAGGAUGGCCAGCCACACUGGAACUGAGACACGGUCCAGACUCCUACGGGAGGCAGCAGUGAGGAAUCUUGCGCAAGUCGGGGGAAACCCUGACGCAGCAACGCCGCGUGAGUGAGGAAGGCCGUUCGGGUACGUAAAGCUCUGUCAGAGUGGGAAAGAAAUGGAUGGGGGCUAAUAUCGCCCAUCCUUGACGGUACCAUCAGAGGAAGCACCGGCUAACUCCGUG
Molecule: ribosomal RNA, 509 nt
Filed under: uncultured bacterium
Lineage: Bacteria
Description: bacterial SSU rRNA
Rfam family: Bacterial small subunit ribosomal RNA
Source: RNAcentral